UGGGGAAUAUUGGACAAUGGGCGCAAGCCUGAUCCAGCAAUGCCGCGUGUGUGAGGAAGGCCUGCGGGUUGUAAAGCACUUUCAGUGGGGAGGAAGGCCUCGGCGUUAAUAUCGUCGAGGAUUGACGUUACCUACAGAAGAAGCACCGGCUAACUCUGUGCCAGCAGCCGCGGUAAUACAGAGGGUGCAUGCGUUAAUCGGACUUACUGGGCGUAAAGGGCGCGUAGGUGGUUAAUUAAGUCAGAUGUGAAAUCCCCGGGCUUAACCUGGGAAAUGCAUUUGAAACGGAUUGGCUAGAGUACGGGAGAGGGAAGUGGAAUUUCCGGUGUAGCGGUGAAAUGCGUAGAUAUCGGAAGGAACACCAGUGGCGAAGGCGACUUCCUGACCCGUUACUGACAUUGAGGCGCGAAAGCGUGGGGAGCGAACA
RNAcentral lists this ribosomal RNA (427 nucleotides) under uncultured bacterium. RNAcentral describes it as "bacterial SSU rRNA". It matches the Rfam family "Bacterial small subunit ribosomal RNA", at positions 355 to 774 of the family's 1533-position model. The record is from RNAcentral.